GACGAACGCUGGCGGCGUGCUUAACACAUGCAAGUCGAACGAUGAACCUCGAAAUGAUUUCUUCGGAAAGAUUUUUGAGAGGAUUAGUGGCGAACGGGUGAGUAACGCGUGAGCAACCUGCCUUAGACAAGGGGAUAGCCUCGGGAAACCGUGAUUAAUACCCUAUGAGACUCCACUUACGAGUGUAAGAGAAGUUAAAGCUAUUGCGGUCUAAGAUGGGCUCGCGUCUGAUUAGCUAGUUGGUGAGAUAAAAGCCCACCAAGGCGACGAUCAGUAACCGGCUUGAGAGAGUGAACGGUCACAUUGGAACUGAGACACGGUCCAAACUCCUACGGGAGGCAGCAGUGGGGAAUAUUGCACAAUGGGGGCAACCCUGAUGCAGCGACGCCGCGUGAGCGAUGAAGGAAUUCGUUUCGUAAAGCCCUGUCCUUGGAGAAGAUAAUGACGGUAACCAAGGAGGAAGCACCGGCUAAAUACGU
This 479-nucleotide ribosomal RNA is filed under the name uncultured bacterium. RNAcentral's name for it is "partial 16S ribosomal RNA". It matches the Rfam family "Bacterial small subunit ribosomal RNA", at positions 28 to 506 of the family's 1533-position model. The record is from RNAcentral.